GAUGUCCAAAUCCUACUCUGCACCCCAGGGGCACCCCUUGGACCCCCGGGUUCGCUGCAGGGCCCACACCUGGAUCAGGCCUCUCACGGGGACGCUCUCGCCAAUGUAAUAAAGAGGAGAAAACGUCCUAGGGGAAGGGCCUGACCCUGCUUCAUCCAGUCAGCAAAAAGCCACAUGGAAGGGACCACCUCAGCCACUCUGGAAGCCACAUCCAUCACUUCUCUGACCGCACCUAGGCUGCUUCCCAGGCCCUGAGGUCCUAGUGUGGACCUCCCUGCCGUGAUUAAUACAGGUCAGCAGGACCAGAGCGCCCCUUGGUCCCUCCCAACACAUGAGCGAAGUUUGUGUGAUGAGGUCAGGGAUAGUGUCUGCGUUUCUGCCCUGAAUAGGGCUCCCUUGGAAAAUCUUUUA
Molecule: small RNA, 411 nt
Filed under: Pongo abelii (Sumatran orangutan)
Lineage: Eukaryota; Metazoa; Chordata; Mammalia; Primates; Hominidae
Description: retained intron
Source: RNAcentral